GGGUGGUAAUGCCGGAUGCUCCGACUCCUCGCAUGGGGUGUCGGGAAAGAUUUCAUUGGUAUGGGAUGGGGUCGCGUCCUAUCAGGUAGUCGGCGGGGUAACGGCCCACCGAGCCUACGACGGGUAGCCGGCCUGAGAGGGCGACCGGCCACAUUGGGACUGAGAUACGGCCCAGACUCCUACGGGAGGCAGCAGUGGGGAAUAUUGCACAAUGGGCGCAAGCCUGAUGCAGCGACGCCGCGUGCGGGAUGACGGCCUUCGGGUUGUAAACCGCUUUUGAUCGGGAGCAAGCCUUCGGGUGAGUGUACCUUUCGAAUAAGCACCGGCUAACUACGUGCCAGCAGCCGCGGUAAUACGUAGGGUGCAAGCGUUAUCCGGAAUUAUUGGGCGUAAAGGGCUCGUAGGCGGUUCGUCGCGUCCGGUGUGAAAGUCCAUCGCUUAACGGUGGAUCUGCGCCGGGUACGGGCGGGCUGGAGUGCGGUAGGGGAGACUGGAAUUCCCGGUGUAACGGUGGAAUGUGUA
RNAcentral lists this ribosomal RNA (522 nucleotides) under Bifidobacterium pseudocatenulatum. RNAcentral describes it as "bacterial SSU rRNA". It matches the Rfam family "Bacterial small subunit ribosomal RNA", at positions 158 to 692 of the family's 1533-position model. The record is from RNAcentral. Lineage: Bacteria; Bacillati; Actinomycetota; Actinomycetes; Bifidobacteriales; Bifidobacteriaceae.